Molecule: long non-coding RNA, 1799 nt
Filed under: Elaeis guineensis (African oil palm)
Lineage: Eukaryota; Viridiplantae; Streptophyta; Magnoliopsida; Arecales; Arecaceae
Description: long non-coding RNA (EGUI_LNC027928)
Source: RNAcentral
UGGCUCUUCUUUGCUGGUCAUACAUGCAUGUAGACUUGGCUUCUCUAAUUAUCUGAUCUAUUGGGCGCUAUUUUAGCUAUGGGCAGUUCACACCAUAAGGCACCACUCCCAUGGGCAGUCUUGACGCAUAGGUGCGUUGCUCCACCUGGCUUCUGAUUCUUGUAGUACGACCACGGGCAGCUCACACUAUAGGUUGAUCAUCCCUAUAGGCAGCCUGGACGUGUGAUUGCCCAAUAGAUUUUCGGGUGGUGGUGAACUAGCUCAAAACACUUUUCCAAAUCAAAUAUACAUACAAAUAUGCAUAUGUAUUUAUAACAUAACCUCAAACAUUCAUCACAUCCUAGUUCCACUCUUUGGAUAGAAAAUACGUUAUAAAACCAAAUCUGAUUUCUUAUUUUAAAACAAAGCAUUUUCACAAUUCUCACAGAAAUAGAAAACACCGAAGCUAGAAAGAAGACCGCUUAUCGGGUAGGCCAGCUACCACACCUCCUAGGUGCUUGAUUCUUUGAAAGCUUCUCUAGGGUUAUUUUCUUCUCCUGUACAUUUGUAAGUGCACCUUGGUUAAUGCAAUGCACUACAUGAUGUGUGAAUGCAAGAAUGCAUGAUAUGCUUCAUGCUUGUCCAUUUUCAUUUAGUUUAAUCUUUCACCAACUUAGCCAAUUUGCCAUUGCUAAGCUUUCCACUAUUUUCACAAUUGUCUUUUAGAUUCUUCCUCAUGGCACUAACACAUUUAACAUCACCUUUUAUGUCUCAUCUCUCUUUCUUAUAGCUAUUUAUCCUUCUUACUAUUUAGCUUAGUAUGACCAUAAUUCAACCCUUAAACAGUUCACUUAACACACAGCACACACUUCAUUCUAAUCUCUACACCACACGCCAAUUGUACACACCAUAAACAUCUUCAUUCACAUUCUGCCCUGUUUUAGAGAUGCUGAUAAAUUAACGAAAAUCUAAUGUAUUUCAGAAGCUAAGUUCAUAUUCCAACUCCAUCAGACCCAAAUCAAACUAGUUCAAUUUGGCCUAAACAAACCUAACUUCCAUGAAUUUCUUCAUAUGGCAGCAACAUAACAUCAAGGUCUUUAACCCUAAAUCACAUAACUUGAUCAAAAGAAUGAUAAUUCACGUAUUUAACACCCAAACUGCAAAUUAAAACAAGUUACAAGUUAGAACUCUUACCCUCUUUGCUGAAAAUGCAAGAACAAUCACAAAACAGUAUGCUGCCUUCUUCAGAAGCAGCAAUACUCUCCUCCAAUCCUCCAAACUUCACUUCAUUGGUAUUAAACCAAGUCCUCUAAGCCUUGUUCUCUUAGUUUAGGACCUGAAAUUCUCUUUCUUUUUUUCUGAUCUCUCUCUCUCUCUCUCUCUCUUAGUCUUAGUCUCUCUCUCUUUCUUUCUUUUGUUCUAAUGUAGAAGUGAAACAAAUGGAAGGAAUGAAUGGAGGUGGUGGGCUGUUUUGGGUGAUAAGGGGCAGCAAGCUGCUGCAUGGCACAAGGAGCAGAAGACACCAAGAAUAGAAAGAAAGAUGUGAGGGGAGGUGUUGACAUGUGGCAACUUUGGUACUUUGACCAUUUUGCCCUUCCUACUAACACAAUUUUGCAAAAUUGCCACCCAUGCACACAUGCACUUUCACAUGAAUUCCCUGCACUCCCCUUCUUGUUUAUGGCAUGACAUCCCAACACUAGGCCACAUGAAUUCUCACCAACAUUUUGCUAUGCAUACCUUAUAAUAUCUCUCUUUUAAUCUAUUUUGUACUAUGCUCAUAUACUAAUCACUAAUUUUCCUUCAUUCCCACUAAUGCCACU